CUAGUAAUAACCAGUCCAUUUGUUCCCACUUGCCUAUUUCUUUUCCGGUUGGCCACAUUUUGUAAUAACUGUUGAGCUUUUUCUGCUGCUGCCCUUGCCUCUCGAACCUGGCCUGGGCUGAAGUUUUUUCUUUAUUCUCUAAAGCCUUCUUCUUUUCCCUUUGAAGGUAAUAAGGUUUGACAACAAAUUUCUUGACUAAAAAGUAAAGUGAUGUAGGAAUU
RNAcentral lists this unclassified non-coding RNA (221 nucleotides) under Hevea brasiliensis (rubber tree). The record is from RNAcentral. Lineage: Eukaryota; Viridiplantae; Streptophyta; Magnoliopsida; Malpighiales; Euphorbiaceae.